CAACUUAUUUUUAUAAAGUACAUAAUAGAUAAUGUGGCUAAAUUGAGACAGGUUAUGCUUCCACCACUGUGUGCAUAUUGCAGUGGUGACAAUGAGACCUGUAACAUUU
Molecule: small nucleolar RNA, 109 nt
Organism: Saimiri boliviensis boliviensis (Bolivian squirrel monkey)
Lineage: Eukaryota; Metazoa; Chordata; Mammalia; Primates; Cebidae
Source: Ensembl